Molecule: ribosomal RNA, 918 nt
Filed under: uncultured Actinobacteridae bacterium
Lineage: Bacteria; Bacillati; Actinomycetota; Actinomycetes
Description: bacterial SSU rRNA
Rfam family: Bacterial small subunit ribosomal RNA
Source: RNAcentral
AGGGUUUGAUCAUGGCUCAGGACGAACGCUGGCGGCGUGCUUAACACAUGCAAGUCGAACGGAAAGGCCUCUUGCUUGCAAGGGGUACUCGAGUGGCGAACGGGUGAGUAACACGUGGGUGAUCUGCCUUGCACUCUGGGAUAAGCUUGGGAAACUGGGUCUAAUACCGGAUAUGAACUGCCUUUAGUGUGGUGGUUGGAAAGUUUUUUCGGUGCAAGAUGAGCUCGCGGCCUAUCAGCUUGUUGGUGGGGUAAUGGCCUACCAAGGCGUCGACGGGUAGCCGGCCUGAGAGGGUGUACGGCCACAUUGGGACUGAGAUACGGCCCAGACUCCUACGGGAGGCAGCAGUGGGGAAUAUUGCACAAUGGGCGGAAGCCUGAUGCAGCGACGCCGCGUGGGGGAUGACGGCCUUCGGGUUGUAAACUCCUUUCGACAGGGACGAAGCUUUUUGUGACGGUACCUGUAUAAGAAGCACCGGCUAACUACGUGCCAGCAGCCGCGGUGAUACGUAGGGUGCGAGCGUUGUCCGGAAUUACUGGGCGUAAAGAGCUCGUAGGUGGUUUGUCGCGUCGUCUGUGAAAUUCCGGGGCUUAACUUCGGGCGUGCAGGCGAUACGGGCAUAACUUGAGUGCUGUAGGGGAGACUGGAAUUCCUGGUGUAGCGGUGAAAUGCGCAGAUAUCAGGAGGAACACCGAUGGCGAAGGCAGGUCUCUGGGCAGUUACUGACGCUGAGGAGCGAAAGCAUGGGUAGCAAACAGGAUUAGAUACCCUGGUAGUCCAUGCCGUAAACGGUGGGCGCUAGGUGUAGGGGGCUUCCACGUCUUCUGUGCCGUAGCUAACGCAUUAAGCGCCCCGCCUGGGGAGUACGGCCGCAAGGCUAAAACUCAAAGGAAUUGACGGGGGCCCGCACAAGCGGCG